UGUGCGCUGGAAGCUAAAGGUGCUAGCUUGGGCUUUUGGCUUUGUGGUCAGCGCACUCGCCUGCCAUGCCAGGUGCGUCAUGUGCCACGGCUCCUUGCAGUGCUCCCCCACUAAGCCAAAACUCUUUAGCUGCCAGCGCACC
This is a non-coding RNA of Nerophis lumbriciformis (worm pipefish), 142 nucleotides long. Lineage: Eukaryota; Metazoa; Chordata; Actinopteri; Syngnathiformes; Syngnathidae. The record is from RefSeq and is a predicted model, not a curated record.